This 253-nucleotide ribosomal RNA is filed under the name uncultured bacterium. Its description in RNAcentral is "partial 16S ribosomal RNA". It matches the Rfam family "Bacterial small subunit ribosomal RNA", at positions 524 to 776 of the family's 1533-position model. The record is from RNAcentral.
UACGAAGGGGGUUAGCGUUGUUCGGAAUUACUGGGUGUAAAGCGCGCGCAGGCGGUCUACCAAGUCAGUGGUGAAAGCCCGGAGCUCAACUCCGGAAAUGCCAUUGAAACUGUUAGACUUGAGUACGAGAGAGGUGAGUGGAAUUCCUAGUGUAGAGGUGAAAUUCGUAGAUAUUGGGAAGAACACCGGUGGCGAAGGCGGCUCACUGGCUCGUUUCUGACGCUCAGGCGCGAUAGCGUGGGGAUCAAACAGG